This 76-nucleotide non-coding RNA is filed under the name uncultured Clostridium sp. RNAcentral describes it as "TPP riboswitch (THI element)". The stretch from base 1 to 66 matches the Rfam family "TPP riboswitch aptamer (THI element)", at positions 9 to 90 of the family's 105-position model. From Rfam's summary of the family: Vitamin B(1) in its active form thiamin pyrophosphate (TPP) is an essential coenzyme that is synthesised by coupling of pyrimidine and thiazole moieties in bacteria. The previously detected thiamin-regulatory element, thi box was extended, resulting in a new, highly conserved RNA secondary structure, the THI element, which is widely distributed in eubacteria and also occurs in some archaea. The record is from RNAcentral. Lineage: Bacteria; Bacillati; Bacillota; Clostridia; Eubacteriales; Clostridiaceae.
ACAGGGGUGCCUGAUGGCUGAGAUAGUCCCUUUUGACCUGAUCUAGUUAAUGCUAGCGUAGGGAGUCAUAUCUAUA